AUCUAAUUGAUGAGUCCUAAAUAGAACGAAACACGCGUACUUGAU
RNAcentral lists this non-coding RNA (45 nucleotides) under Schistosoma curassoni. Lineage: Eukaryota; Metazoa; Platyhelminthes; Trematoda; Strigeidida; Schistosomatidae. The record is from RNAcentral.